UACGUAGGUGGCAAGCGUUAUCCGGAUUUAUUGGGCGUAAAGAGAACGCAGGCGGUCUUUUAAGUCUGAUGUGAAAGCCCGGGGCUCAACCCCGGGACUGCAUUUGGAACUGUGUGGCUGGAGUGUCGGAGAGGCAGGCGGAAUUCCUAGUGUAGCGGUGAAAUGCGUAGAUAUUAGGAGGAACACCAGUGGCGAAGGCGGCCUGCUGGACGAUGACUGACGUUGAGGCUCGAAAGCGUGGGGAGCAAACAGG
Molecule: ribosomal RNA, 253 nt
Filed under: uncultured bacterium
Lineage: Bacteria
Description: partial 16S ribosomal RNA
Rfam family: Bacterial small subunit ribosomal RNA
Source: RNAcentral